This 547-nucleotide ribosomal RNA is filed under the name uncultured archaeon. RNAcentral's name for it is "bacterial SSU rRNA". It matches the Rfam family "Archaeal small subunit ribosomal RNA", at positions 326 to 873 of the family's 1478-position model. The record is from RNAcentral.
CGGGGUGCAGCAGGCGCGAAAACUUUACAAUGCGGGAAACCGUGAUAAGGGGACACCGAGUGCCAGCAUCAUAUGCUGGCUGUCCAGGUGUGUAAAAUACACCUGUCAGCAAGGGCCGGGCAAGACCGGUGCCAGCCGCCGCGGUAACACCGGCGGCCCGAGUGGUGAUCGUGAUUAUUGGGUCUAAAGGGUCCGUAGCCGGUUUGGUCAGUCCUCCGGGAAAUCUGACGGCUCAACCGUUAGGCUUUCGGGGGAUACUGCCAGGCUUGGAACCGGGAGAGGUAAGAGGUACUACAGGGGUAGGAGUGAAAUCUUGUAAUCCCUGUGAGACCACCUGUGGCGAAGGCGUCUUACCAGAACGGGUUCGACGGUGAGGGACGAAAGCUGGGGGCACGAACCGGAUUAGAUACCCGGGUAGUCCCAGCCGUAAACGAUGCUCGCUAGGUGUCAGGCAUGGCGCGACCGUGUCUGGUGCCGCAGGGAAGCCGUGAAGCGAGCCACCUGGGAAGUACGGCCGCAAGGCUGAAACUUAAAGGAAUUGGCGGGG